RNAcentral lists this ribosomal RNA (225 nucleotides) under uncultured Asaia sp. RNAcentral's name for it is "partial 16S ribosomal RNA". It matches the Rfam family "Bacterial small subunit ribosomal RNA", at positions 568 to 792 of the family's 1533-position model. The record is from RNAcentral. Lineage: Bacteria; Pseudomonadati; Pseudomonadota; Alphaproteobacteria; Acetobacterales; Acetobacteraceae.
CGUGUAGGCGGAGCGGCAAGUCAGAUGUGAAAUUCCAGGGCUUAACCUUGGGGCUGCAUUUGAUACGUGUAGACUAGAGUGUGAGAGAGGGUUGUGGAAUUCCCAGUGUAGAGGUGAAAUUCGUAGAUAUUGGGAAGAACACCGGUGGCGAAGGCGGCAACCUGGCUCAUUACUGACGCUAAGGCGCGAAAGCGUGGGGAGCAAACAGGAUUAGAUACCCCUGUA